ACAGAAGCCUGGCGCGCGGCGGCGGCUGGCGGGCGGGCGCCGAGGGCUCGGCCUGGAACGGCGUGACCGGGGCGCUGCGGCGACGGCUCGCGCGGGCGCGCUGGGCUGCCCGGCUAGCCCCCGCGAUCGGCCGCUCAUCGGCCGGUGGGGCGGGCGCCUGGUGAGCUAGCUUCAGGGAGCAGGAAAACUGACCCAGAACAUCAGCAUCAUAGCCAGGCCACCUGGGAUGUUCAUAUCCUGAAGUCUGAGGAUUUGGAGAAAAUUAAAGGAUUUACCUGAAGACAAAGCAUUCUAUUCAUCAGAGACUGGACAAGAGUUACUCUUGCUUUGGGCAAUUAAAGAUGAUGUUGUCAUGGAAACAGUUGAUCUUGCUUUCAUUCAUUGGCUGCUUAGGAGGU
RNAcentral lists this long non-coding RNA (398 nucleotides) under Sus scrofa (pig). RNAcentral describes it as "lncRNA (ENSSSCG00035048105.1)". Lineage: Eukaryota; Metazoa; Chordata; Mammalia; Artiodactyla; Suidae. The record is from RNAcentral.